This is a long non-coding RNA of Gadus chalcogrammus (walleye pollock), 299 nucleotides long. RefSeq lists it as uncharacterized. The transcript is spliced from 3 exons. The record is from RefSeq and is a predicted model, not a curated record. NCBI's taxonomy places the organism in Eukaryota, Metazoa, Chordata, Actinopteri, Gadiformes, Gadidae.
CCAAUUUCAAUCGUUCCAUAGGCAGCACUGAGGUAAAGAACCACUGGCAGGGAGCUUGCAUUGCUGUCCAUGGAGUGGAUGAGCAGAAUGCAAGCACCUCAAAAGCUUGUUUUCUGCUCGGAUAUAGGAUAUGUGUAAAGGAGAAGCAGACGAAGACCAAUGACUCUCUGAGGAUAUAUUCCACAGACUGUUGAGGACGGCUCUGUCACAUGUCUCUGGUCAGCAAUGGGAGCAGACGCCACUGACGGAGAGCACAUUGAGCAGCGUAUGAAGACGGAGGGUGAUCAAUGAAAACCCCC